RNAcentral lists this unclassified non-coding RNA (345 nucleotides) under soil metagenome. Its description in RNAcentral is "partial contains 5.8S ribosomal RNA, internal transcribed spacer 2, and large subunit ribosomal RNA". The stretch from base 1 to 120 matches the Rfam family "5.8S ribosomal RNA", at positions 35 to 154 of the family's 154-position model. The record is from RNAcentral.
GAUGAAGCACGUAGCGAAAUGCGAUACGUAAUGUGAAUUGCAGAAUUCAGUGAAUCAUCGAGUCUUUGAACGCACAUUGCGCCCCCUGGUAUUCCGGGGGGCAUGCCUGUCCGAGCGUCAUUGCUGCCCUCAAGCACGGCUUGUGUGUUGGGCCUCCGUCCUCCUCCCGGGGGACGGGCCCGAAAGGCAGCGGCGGCACCGCGUCCGGUCCUCGAGCGUAUGGGGCUUCGUCACCCGCUCUUGUAGGCCCGGCCGGCGCUUGCCGACACAUCAAUCUUUUUUCCAGGUUGACCUCGGAUCAGGUAGGGAUACCCGCUGAACUUAAGCAUAUCAAUAAGCGGAGGA